Long non-coding RNA from Bradysia coprophila, 271 nucleotides. RefSeq lists it as uncharacterized. The record is from RefSeq and is a predicted model, not a curated record. Lineage: Eukaryota; Metazoa; Arthropoda; Insecta; Diptera; Sciaridae.
UUGGUGAGGAUAAACCAGCACUGUGUUUCUUUUCUUUCUUUCCCUUUUCAAAUAUUAUAUAAAUCCAGUGUGAACGAAAAAUAACCGAACAGCAAACAUGAACGAGUGCGACUUUCUUCCAACAAUAGUGGAAAUGGUCUCAGGAAUGCUAUUUCCAAAUUCUGGUUCGGAGUACGAUGAUGAUGAUAAGUGAGAGAAAGUGAAAAUUUUGUAGAUUUUUGAGAAUAAUUUUGUAAUCCUUUCAAUGAGCAAUAAAUCGAGUUAAAACACA